RNAcentral lists this ribosomal RNA (522 nucleotides) under uncultured bacterium. Its description in RNAcentral is "bacterial SSU rRNA". It matches the Rfam family "Bacterial small subunit ribosomal RNA", at positions 983 to 1509 of the family's 1533-position model. The record is from RNAcentral.
GACAUGGCAGGAAUCCUGGAGAGAUCUGGGAGUGCUCGAAAGAGAACCUGCACACAGGUGCUGCAUGGCUGUCGUCAGCUCGUGUCGUGAGAUGUUGGGUUAAGUCCCGCAACGAGCGCAACCCUUGUCAUUAGUUGCUACGCAAGAGCACUCUAAUGAGACUGCCGGUGACAAACCGGAGGAAGGUGGGGAUGACGUCAAGUCCUCAUGGCCCUUAUGGGUAGGGCUUCACACGUCAUACAAUGGUACAUACAGAGGGCCGCCAACCCGCGAGGGGGAGCUAAUCCCAGAAAGUGUAUCGUAGUCCGGAUUGUAGUCUGCAACUCGACUACAUGAAGUUGGAAUCGCUAGUAAUCGCGGAUCAGCAUGUCGCGGUGAAUACGUUCCCGGGUCUUGUACACACCGCCCGUCACACCAUGGGAGCGGGUUUUACCAGAAGUAGGUAGCUUAACCGUAAGGAGGGCGCUUACCACGGUAGGAUUCGUGACUGGGGUGAAGUCGUAACAAGGUAGGCGUAGAUGA